Carassius auratus (goldfish) is the source of this 1075-nucleotide long non-coding RNA. RefSeq lists it as uncharacterized. The record is from RefSeq and is a predicted model, not a curated record. The transcript is spliced from 3 exons. Lineage: Eukaryota; Metazoa; Chordata; Actinopteri; Cypriniformes; Cyprinidae.
CUCUACUGGAGGAUCCACACUGUAAACUAGAGAAACUAGAGCUGAGUUACUGUAGUAUUGGAGAGGAAGGAUGCUCUGCUCUGAUUUCAUCUUUGAGAUCAAACUCCUCACACCUGACAGAACUGGAUCUGAGAAGUAAUAAACCGGGAGACUCAGAAGUGAAGCUGCUCUCUGCUCUACUGGAGGAUCCACACUGUAAACUGAAGAAACUACAUAUUUGACAGUGGAUACUCUACAAGCUUCAAACAACUGAAUCAAAACAACACGUAUUGAACAAGACUGUCACCUGGACAAAUGCUGAUACUUAAGUGAAUUUGCUUUCACCACAUUUGGGAGGUGAAAUAGUGUAGUGUAGGGUACAUGUCACUGUUGACGUUAUGUCACUUAAGGUGUGGUUUUGAGCACAUCACAGAAGAAAGAUUGGUGGGAUACCUAACUUGUAGAGCCUCUUUCUCUAUCAUUAACACAAAUAAGACACAAGAGUAAUAAAAUUAGUUGUAUUAAGAAAAGAUAGACAAGUGUUAUCAACAACUACUAAAUGGAUACCAUGAAUGAAAAAGUAAUAAAGUGCAUAAUUUGUAUAAAAUGCAAGUGAUUACGUUGGGUGUUGUUUUGUCAAGGCUACGUUAUCUGGAAAGAAAUAAGGUGAAUAAACUUAUUAUGCAUCAAACUAAUAUGUGAAAUAUUAAUUGUAUAAAGAAAAGAUAGACAAGUGUAAUCGACAACUACUAAAUGGAUACCAUGAAUGAAAAAGUAAUAAAUUGCAUAAUUUGUAUAAAAUGCAAGUGAUUACCUUGGGUGUUUUUUUGUCAGAGCUACAUUAUCUGGAAAGAAAUAAGGUGAAUAAACUUAUUACUCAUCAAACUAAUAUGUGAAAUAUUAAUUGUAUAAAGAAAAGAUAGACAAGUGUAAUCGACACCUACUAAAUGGAUACCAUGAAUGAAAAAGUAAUAAAUUGCAUAAUUUGUAUAAAAUUCAAGUGAUUAUGUUGGUUGUUGCUUUGUCAGAGUUACGUUAUUUGGAAAGAAAUAAGGCGAAUAAACGUAUUAUGCAUCAAACAAAUAUGUGAAAGAUU